Molecule: long non-coding RNA, 268 nt
Filed under: Prunus persica (peach)
Lineage: Eukaryota; Viridiplantae; Streptophyta; Magnoliopsida; Rosales; Rosaceae
Description: long non-coding RNA (PPER_LNC006190)
Source: RNAcentral
AUAACUCCUCCCACCAUAUUAUGAUGUUCCCCAAGCUUCAGACCCAAUCCGAUAUCAAUUGGUCCAUGAAAUUGGACAAGUCAGGUUCGUACGAAGUUCGAUCUGAAAUGGAGUGGUUGGUGUAUUGCAUGGUUCUGGAGAUUGGAUUUCCCUCAAAAGCCACCAAAUAAAUCCUCCCACCCAUAUUAUCAUAUUCCCCAAGCUUCGGACUCAAUUCGAUAUCGAUUGGUACAUAAAAUUGGACAAUUCAAGUUCGUACGAAGUCCAU